GCGCCAGACUCCUACGGGAGGCAGCAGUGAGGAAUAUUGGUCAAUGGGCGCGAGCCUGAACCAGCCAAGUCGCGUGAGGGAAGACGGUCCUAUGGAUUGUAAACCUCUUUUGUCGGGGAGCAAAAGACGCCACGUGUGGCGUUCCGAGAGUACCCGAAGAAAAAGCAUCGGCUAACUCCGUGCCAGCAGCCGCGGUAAUACGUAGGUGGCAAGCGUUAUCCGGAUUUAUUGGGUGUAAAGGGCGUGUAGGCGGGAAUGCAAGUCAGAUGUGAAAACUAUGGGCUCAACCCAUAGCCUGCAUUUGAAACUGUAUUUCUUGAGUGCUGGAGAGGCAAUCGGAAUUCCGUGUGUAGCGGUGAAAUGCGUAGAUAUACGGAGGAACACCAGUGGCGAAGGCGGCUUGCUGGACGAUGACUGACGUUGAGGCUCGAAAGCGUGGGGAGCAAACAGGAUUAGAUACCCCGGUA
RNAcentral lists this ribosomal RNA (467 nucleotides) under uncultured bacterium. Its description in RNAcentral is "bacterial SSU rRNA". It matches the Rfam family "Bacterial small subunit ribosomal RNA", at positions 328 to 792 of the family's 1533-position model. The record is from RNAcentral.